This 330-nucleotide unclassified non-coding RNA is filed under the name soil metagenome. RNAcentral's name for it is "partial contains 5.8S ribosomal RNA, internal transcribed spacer 2, and large subunit ribosomal RNA". The stretch from base 1 to 120 matches the Rfam family "5.8S ribosomal RNA", at positions 35 to 154 of the family's 154-position model. The record is from RNAcentral.
GAUGAAGAACGCAGCAAAAUGCGAUAAGUAAUGUGAAUUGCAGAAUUCAGUGAAUCAUCGAAUCUUUGAACGCACAUUGCGCCCGCCAGUAUUCUGGCGGGCAUGCCUGUUCGAGCGUCAUUUCAACCCUCAAGCACAGCUUGGUGUUGGGACUCGCGUUAAUUCGCGUUCCCCAAAUUGAUUGGCGGUCACGUCGAGCUUCCAUAGCGUAGUAGUAAAACCCUCGUUACUGGUAAUCGUCGCGGCCACGCCGUUAAACCCCAACUUCUGAAUGUUGACCUCGGAUCAGGUAGGAAUACCCGCUGAACUUAAGCAUAUCAAUAAGCGGGA